RNAcentral lists this long non-coding RNA (4323 nucleotides) under Medicago truncatula (barrel medic). Its description in RNAcentral is "long non-coding RNA (MTRU_LNC008874)". Lineage: Eukaryota; Viridiplantae; Streptophyta; Magnoliopsida; Fabales; Fabaceae. The record is from RNAcentral.
GCUUGACAAGUUGAAAUAAUUGUUUUUUUAAUAUUUUAACCAAUUUUCCAUGUAAAAAAACUCUGGAAGUUUUUGACCAAGUUUAUAACUUCAUAUAUGGUAGAAAACAUUGAGAUAAUCAAGGAGUCAAGUGGACCCCGAUCUGAAUUUGUUUUUGUACCCACAUAUUACGUAUAGCAAAGUGUGUAUGUCUUCAGAAAGAUAAGCUCACAUUAUUCUGAGUAAUGGCUAGAGAAUUUCAUGCUAUACUUGGUGGUGGCCAGGGAGAUUAUAAUUCAGGAAUUUUAUAUUUAUUGGGAAUUAUCUUUCUGUCUCUUUCAGUUUUAUCCAUCAUCAUAUUUUCUUGUGGUGAUGACAACCAUCACAAGCAUCGAAAAAGAAGAGGUGGACGUGGUGGUAUAAGUGGAAUUGGUGGUGAUGGUGGAGGCCAUGGUGGUGGAGGAGGAGUAGACGGCGGUGGAGGCGGAGGUGGUGGCUAGAUCAAUUAUCUUUUGUACACAAAUAUACAUUGGUAUGAACAUGUAUAAAUGAAAAUUAAAUUAGUUCAUAGAGUUCUUUAAUUUCUGAGGUAAUUGAAAUUCUUGACAUGUUAGUUUUUUUUUUCUUUUUUCUUUUCUGUUUUCUUGUAAACAUGGAUAAAGCAUUCCUGAUUUCAUUUUUGUUUUUCUUCCUGUUAAGAAUGUCUAUGUAAUUAUUUAUAUGUGGAAUUUUAUGUUUUUUGUAAUCUUAUUGCAAUUAUUUAAUGUAGAAAUGCUAGUUGGGUUUGGGAUAAGAAGCCCAGAUACUAGAUAUGUGUGGAAUAUGCUUUAGCUAAUAUCAAAUGUUCAAUAAAAACACAUAAAAGUUUGAAGGAGUAUAUUCUGUUCUCCUUCCUUCAUAUAUCUUAUUGAAGAAAACAAAGAGUUCCCUUUAUUCAAAGGUAACCUUAAAAGUAAAAAUUAUUUAUCUUCAACCUAUUGCUUUUAUCAUCAAUCAUGGGACGGUUUCGGUUAGUAAAGUCCAUGGUUAAUGGUUUAUGGUAUGCUUUUGUACAUAUUCCAUGUGGAGGUAGGCAUGUCCCAUUUUCUUACUCAUGUUGGGAAACUCUAUUUGGUCAUGUGAUACUAAUACAAAAAAGAAAGUGUAAGUUCAGAUUGAAACCUAAGAGGGGUGAAUUAGGUUUCUAGGAAUAUUGGUUAAUUUUUGUAAGUUUAGCGUUCUUGAUAUGAAGGUAUGAAUGCGGAAAAAUAAAAGAGUAAGGAAAGAAGAAAAGACACAAGAGAAUUAUAGUGGUUCCCCUCUAAAUCUUAGGGUCAGUCCACUCCCUUCACACCCCGCGAAGGAAUUCACUAUGUUAGAAUCUUUGUUACAAGCAAUCUUACCCCAAGACCCCCUAACAAUCUUUCUAACAUAAACACAAGAAAUAAACCCUCUCUCUUCAUUACAACACAAACAUCAAACACUUUUUGUGGACUUUGAAUCUUCCCGAAUCAAAGAACCUUUUACAAGAUAGCACCCCCACUAUCUUAAACAAUAAUUCUAACCAACAAUGGCAAGAAACUUUAUAAAGUAGUUGAAGAAUAGCAAAUGUAUGGUUGUAUAUCUUUAUCAAUAUCUUUCUAACAAAUGGACUUAGUGCUCAGAAAACUUUCAAAUAAAUGUUAAAGUGCAGGCAAAGUUUUCCAAACAAUUUGAAUGAAAGUUUGAAGUGAUAUAGAAAAUGUCAAUUGAGACAAUGAAAGUUGUUGUGUAUAUUUAUUUUGAUUCUCAAUUGUAUUUAUAGAGGCUAAAAUAAUGUUGAUGAAACAAUACACUUUUUCGAAAAAGAGUUACCAAUGAAUAGACACUUAUUUAAAAUGAUACCUAUUCAUAAAAUAAGUGUAUGAAAUGCAUUUUAGAAAAAUAGCCGUUUGACACAAAUGAUCAAUUAUUAUUAGAAAUUUGAAAACAUGUUGAUUUUAAUUUGCAUCAUAAUUAGUUUUACUAAAAUAAACUAUAAUGCAUGUGUUUGCAAUUCAUGCGUGCCAUGAUUUCAAAGACCAAAUGCAUGCCAAAAAUAUUUUAUUAAAUAUGUUAUUUUCCAAAAGCAAUUAUGGUUUUCAUGCAAAAUCACAUUAUAUGAAAAUAACUGUAAGUGUGUGAUUUAUUUUCAAGAGAUUUUUAGACAUUAUUUCAUAUGGGGACUUAGAAAAAAAUUUAUAAUUAUUUUUUUUGCAUUCUAUUCUAAAUUGUUUUAUAAGUUAAGAAUGAUAAAUCAAAGAUAAGAACUAUCCUUACAAAAAUAUAACUUUGAAGCCUAAGUCCUAUUAUCUUCAUUCUUCAAUUUGAGCCUCCAUAAUUUUUCUUCUUUUGUGAUGUGAGUUACAAAAAUAUAACUUUGAUUUUUUAAGAAAAAUUAAAAUGUGUGCGUGAAAGUGCAAAUUGUUAACCGCAACAAAUUCAAAUCCUCUCGAAAAAGGGUCUUGUCCUUUUUAUCGAUUCAUGUCUUUAAUGAUCUUGUUAUGCUUAAACACUUUGAUCUGGUUCUUUUCAAAAUCAGUAGGUCUGUUUUAUUAUUAUGAGGAACAAAACUAUCACAUCAUGCACAAUCUUCUAUUAGGUCUUCUUUAAAAGCUUAUCUAGGCUCAGUUAUGGACAACGUAACUUGGCUUUUUAGUGAUAGUUCCACAAUCUCAUGUUGGCAAAUAAAUGGCUUGAUGAACCAGUUACUGAUUUAUCUCAUAUUCCCAUGCAUCUUCAUCGAUUGUUAAAGAUUAAAAUCUACGGCCCAAGACUUCAUCUUGUGUGUAAUGGUGAAGAUUUUGGGGAACUUAACUUGAAAAGUUCUUAUGAUUUUCUUAAUUCCCCUUAUCAACCUUCUUAUUGGGGGAAAAGCCAUUUUGACUACAUCCGUUUCACGUAGCAAAAAAGUGCUUAUGAAGUUAUAAGACACCGUAGGUUCUUCCACUUAAAAUCCUUAAUGGUUGCAAAAAAAGUCCAUUACAUAUAUACGAGUCUCACAAUAGUAUAUAGUAAGUAAAUGGGUUAAUAGUGUUUUCCACCCCUGUAAUAUAUGUCAAUUCUUGUUUUCGCCCCUAUAAAAUUUUUGGUUUGAUUUGCAUCCUCGUAAAAUUUUUAUUUUCCAGAAAACACCCCUAAUAGGCCAUUUUCAGAAUUUUUUUUCAAGAAAUUUUGGUUUUUGAAUGGCCUAUUAAGGGUGUUUUUCGAAAAAUAAAAAUUUUACGAGGGUGCAAAUCAAACCGAAAAUUUUAUAGGGACGAAAACUGGAAAUGACAUAUAUUACAGAGGUGAAAAACACUAUUAACCCUAAGUAAAUUAUCAAAUUAGCUAUGAUUUUAUAGAGCGCUUUCAAAUAAAUCUAUGAGAUUAGGAGUAUUUCAAAAGAGUUAUCAACUCUAUCAAACUAUCAAGCUGAUUCUUAUAUUUAACUACUCAUAAUCAAUUAGAUCUUUAUAUUUUAACAAUUUACUAUCAAUUUGGUUAUUAUAUUUAAUCAUUAUCAAUUUAGUUUAUAACAUACUCUUAGAUGAACAAAUGUGAGUUACAUUUAACACAAUCAAAUAACUUUUUGAAUCAUAAUAUCAAUAACUUAUUUGAAUGCGAAGUCAGAGACGAAUUUAACGGUGUGUGUGACAACAAGACACCUAUAUGUGUGACAACGAGACAUAACAUCACACAUAAAGUAUACUAAAAUGUUAACAAUUUAACUUUACUUGAUCAAUGUUGUGCAUUGUCAAAGACCAUUUUAGAAUAUCUAUGAAGCAAGUAACAAAAUCAGCUACAAAAUUUGAUUACAAUAUUCAACAACAUCAUACAUAUAUACACAAGUUAUUCAGGGACUCUACAAAAUUCCGAAAGAAAACAAAACAGAGAAGAGCCGUAGAAGAACCUAAGUGGGAUAUAAAGCUCACACAAGCUUAACAGCUUUAAGCUUCUGGGCUAUAUAUCAACUUCUAAUUGUGGAGCUAUAUACCUUUCCCACGACCCGAACAUGAAAACGCCGCCGCAAUAAUUUUGAUUAUCCUUAACUUGAUUUGCCCUCUCCUUGGUGGGAACAUUUGAGUGGAUUUACUACUCUGUUUGGCUUCUUCAAACUCUGCUGCUAAAGCUGAAGAACAAAUUGGGGUGUGAAAUUGCAUAAUUAGAAUACACAAUUGAAGAACUAGAGUUUUUGUUAAUGCAGUAACUGGCACUGAUAAGGAAUAGAAGAAAUGAAGAGAAACUUUAGAAUUGCAGUGAAAAUGGGAUGGGAGUGAGGGUGCGCUAUAAAAAGACAAAAGGCAGAGAGUGUGGGAACUAACUAGACAACUGUAGCAGGCGUGUCCUCCAAGAUUCCUAUUUCUU